CUGAAACCCUGCGUGAGGGAUUGAAGCGGCAUCCUUUUUAGAGGUUUUUUACGCCGAAAAAAAUAUAGAGCGUAAAAGCCCGACCCCGA
Molecule: small RNA, 89 nt
Filed under: Leeuwenhoekiella polynyae
Lineage: Bacteria; Pseudomonadati; Bacteroidota; Flavobacteriia; Flavobacteriales; Flavobacteriaceae
Description: Flavo-1 RNA
Source: RNAcentral